GCUGGGCAUGGUGGUGCACACCUGUAAUCCCAGCAGCUCAGGAGGCUGAGGCAGGAGGAUUGCGAGUUCAAAGCCAGCCUUAGCAACAGAGGUGAUAAGCAACUCAGUGAGACCCUGUCUCUA
This 123-nucleotide small RNA is filed under the name Marmota monax (woodchuck). The record is from RNAcentral. Lineage: Eukaryota; Metazoa; Chordata; Mammalia; Rodentia; Sciuridae.